UUCUGGCUCAGGAUGAACGCUGGCGGCGUGCAUAACACAUCAAGUCGAACGAUGAAGGGACUUCGGUCCUGGAAUAGUGGCGGACGGGUGAGUAACGCGUGAGCAACCUGCCUUGCAUUGGGGAUAACGUUGGAAACGAACGCUAAUACCGCAUAACGUAUAAAUAUCGCAUGUUAGAUAUACCAAAGAUUUAUUGAUGCAAGAUGGGCUCGCGUCCGAUUAGAUAGUUGGUGAGGUAACGGCCCACCAAGUCGACGAUCGGUAGCCGGACUGAGAGGUUGAACGGCCACAUUGGAACUGAGAAACGGUCCAGACUCCUACGGGAGGCAGCAGUGGGGAAUAUUGGGCAAUGGGCGAAAGCCUGACCCAGCGACGCCGCGUGAGGGAAGAAGAUCUUCGGAUUGUAAACCUCUUUCAGCAAGGAAGAAGAAAGUGACGGUACUUGCAGAAGAAGCCACGGCUAACUACGUGCCAGCCGCCGC
Molecule: ribosomal RNA, 482 nt
Filed under: uncultured bacterium
Lineage: Bacteria
Description: bacterial SSU rRNA
Rfam family: Bacterial small subunit ribosomal RNA
Source: RNAcentral